CACACGUACCCAUCCCGAACACGACCGUUAAGCCCUCCAGCGCCGAUGGUACUUGGACCGCAGGGUCCUGGGAGAGUAGGACGUCGCCAAGC
This 92-nucleotide ribosomal RNA is filed under the name Paenibacillus peoriae. The record is from RNAcentral. RNAcentral also lists the same sequence under 2 other names. Lineage: Bacteria; Bacillati; Bacillota; Bacilli; Caryophanales; Paenibacillaceae.